RNAcentral lists this ribosomal RNA (446 nucleotides) under uncultured bacterium. RNAcentral describes it as "bacterial SSU rRNA". It matches the Rfam family "Bacterial small subunit ribosomal RNA", at positions 958 to 1398 of the family's 1533-position model. The record is from RNAcentral.
AACGCGAAGAACCUUACCCGGGCUCGAAGUGUGCGGAUUAGUUCUAUGAAAGUAGAAUGACACCUUAACCGGUGGAACGCAUAAAGGUGCUGCAUGGCUGUCGUCAGCUCGUGCCGUGAGGUGUUGGGUUAAGUCCCGCAACGAGCGCAACCCUUAUCAUUAGUUGCCAACGCGUAAUGGCGGGGACUCUAGUGAGACUGCCUAGGUUAACUAGGAGGAAGGUGAGGAUGACGUCAAGUCCGCAUGGCCUUUAUGUCUGGGGCUACACACGUGCUACAAUGGUCGGUACAGAAGGCAGCAAUACCGCAAGGUGGAGCAAAUCCGUAAAGCCGAUCUCAGUUCGGAUUGUAGUCUGCAACUCGGCUACAUGAAGUUGGAAUUGCUAGUAAUGACGUGUCAGCAACAACGUCGUGAAUACGUUCCCGGGCCUUGUACACACCGGAGUA